RNAcentral lists this ribosomal RNA (20 nucleotides) under Polyblastidium japonicum. Its description in RNAcentral is "partial 18S ribosomal RNA". The record is from RNAcentral. Lineage: Eukaryota; Fungi; Ascomycota; Lecanoromycetes; Caliciales; Physciaceae.
GACCCUGCGGAAGGAUCAUU